This is a long non-coding RNA of Oncorhynchus tshawytscha (Chinook salmon), 4166 nucleotides long. NCBI's taxonomy places the organism in Eukaryota, Metazoa, Chordata, Actinopteri, Salmoniformes, Salmonidae. The record is from Ensembl.
CACACACACACACACACACACACACACACACACACACACACACACACACACACACACACACACACACACACACACACACACACAGAGUAUACGAUCUCUACGCCAUACAAGGAGGAACCAUUUACUGUGAGGUGAUUUUAAGGGAGCGGGCAGAGUAGCACAUAAUGGCCCUCGCUUUGACAGCCAGUCUCCAUCCUAAAUGGCACCCUAUUCCCUAUGUAGUGCACUACUUUAGACCAGAGCCCUAUAGAACCCUAUUCCCUAUAUAGUGCACUACUUUAGACCAGAGCCCUAUAUAACCCUAUUCCCUAUAUAGUGCACUACUUUAGACCAGAGCCCUAUAUAACCCUAUUCCCUAUAUAGUGCACUACUUUAGACCAGAGCCCUAUAUAACCCUAUUCCCUAUAUAGUGCACUACUUUAGACCAGAGCCCUAUAGAACCCUAUUCCCUAUAUAGUGCACUACUUUAGACCAGAGCCCUAUAGAACCCUAUUCCCUAUAUAGUGCACUACUUUAGACCAAGGCCCUAUAGAACCCUAUUCCCUAUAUAGUGCACUACUUUAGACCAAGGCCCUAUAGAACCCUAUUCCCUAUAUAGUGCACUACUUUAGACCAGAGCCCUAUAGAACCCUAUUCCCUAUAUAGUGCACUACUUUAGACCAAGGCCCUAUAGAACCCUAUUCCCUAUAUAGUGCACUACUUUAGACCAAGGCCCUAUAGAACCCUAUUCCCUAUAUAGUGCACUACUUUAGACCAAGGCCCUAUAGAACCCUAUUCCCUAUGUAGUGCACUACUUUAGACCAGAGCCCUAUAGAACCCUAUUCCCUAUAUAGUGCACUACUUUAGACCAAGGCCCUAUAGAACCCUAUUCCCUAUAUAGUGCACUACUUUAGACCAGAGCCCUAUAGAACCCUAUUCCCUAUAUAGUGCACUACUUUAGACCAGAGCCCUAUAGAACCCUAUUCCCUAUAUAGUGCACUACUUUAGACCAAGGCCCUAUAGAACCCUAUUCCCUAUAUAGUGCACUACUUUUGACCAGAGCGAGCCCCUCCCCUACAGAGCCCCCUUCUAUUAACAUGUCAACACACACUGUAAAUAACAGUACACACAACAGAUCAAUGUGUACUGCUGCCAAACACUACACUACUAUAAACACUGUGUAUACUUUAGGGGGUGAACUGGGUAAGGUGAAUUAAUAGCCUAUGCUCCUUGUACAUUUUGGAUUCCCUCACCGUUCAUCCCAAAUUUGACAUCGUUCUUUUACAUGAUCUUUCUCAAUCAGGUUUUUAAUAAUUCUUCCAGUUGAAAAUAGCAGAUUAUUGAUAUGAUGACUUGUUUAGUGCGUUGCAUCGAUAACAUACUCAGUACAGUAUAUGGGAUAAGCUACAUAGUUGUAGUGGUUAGCGACACUUUAUAUAUGCUAUAUAAAGCCUUUAUAGGUUGUAAGUUGUAAAGGACCUUUUAAAAUGUAUAUUUUUUUGGGGGGGGAUUGGAAUCCAGGUUUAUGUAGAGUUUAACCCAGAGCCGUCCUGCACAAAAAGAGACCCCCAUGUUCAGAACUUCAGUGAACUUUCUAGUAGCAGACACAAACAUUUGAUCCAUUCAUGUUCCUCGGAGACAAAGGCCAUGCUGUAUGCAGCGCUUGACUUCACCAGAGAUGCAGUAAAGAGGUCAGUGGAAUAUGCAUACAGUGGGCGAUAGAAGGACGCUGGACUUGCGGGCAUUCAACAAAUCUGAUCCAUCGAAGUGGAUAUUGGUCAAAUCCGUCAUGAUGUAUUGUAACGGGUCCACAAAUGUGGUUACUCAAAUCUGAUGUGGAUAUAUUCACCUCAUAACAUGUAAAAAGCUGUCCCCUUUUCAGGUUUAGAAGAUGUGACUGCCAAAUGCUAACUCCUGUUUGUGUAAGCUGGUAGCGUAGCUAGCAUACAGAAAUCAGUGGUGGUAGUCAAAAGUUGUUUUUUAAAUUGUAAUGCAGUUGAUUGAUGACGAUGACAUCAACAUGUACGGGGGUUGACAUCUAUACAAGCAUUGCACUCUGAUUUUUUACCUCAACAUAGUGUGGAAUACACAUAUAAACAACAGUCUAAAUGUAGGGUCAUUUGGCUGGGGGGCAAUGAGGAGAUUCAGGAUCUUUCUUGCAUAGCAUCUUUCCCCCACGUGUUUCCAUGGCAUUGUUUUGGUCAAGUUCCAUUGACCUCUUUACCAUCUGUCCUUUCUAUAUGAUCUUUAUUAUUGAACUGAAUGACACUGUGUGAGAAACAGGUUACCAUUGACAAGAUAUGAUGCUGAAUGACACUGUGUGAGAAACAGGUUACCAUUGACAAGAUAUGAUGCUGAAUGACACUGUGUGAGAAACAGGUUACCAUUGACAAGAUAUGAUGCUGAAUGACACUGUGUGAGAAACAGGUUACCAUUGACAAGAUAUGAUGCUGAAUGACACUGUGUGAGAAACAGGUUACCAUUGACAAGAUAUGAUGCUGAAUGACACUGUGUGAGAAACAGGUUACCAUUGACAUGAUAUGAUUCUGCAUCACAUCUACCAUGUGGUCUAAGUCUUUUUAUAAACUGGGUGGUUCGAGCCCUGAAUGCUGAUUGGCUGAAAGCUGUGGUGUAUCAGACCGUAUACCAUGGGUAUGACAAGACAUUUAUUUUUUACUGCUCUGAUUACGUUGGUAACCAGUUUAUAAUAGCAAUAAGGCACCUCGGGGGGUUUGUGAUAUAUUGCCAGUAUUCCACGGCUAAGGGCUGUGUCCGGGCACUCCACGUUGCGUCGUGCAUAUAAAAACAACCCGUAGCCGUGGAAUAUUGGCCAUAUACCACGCCCCCUCGGGCCUUAUUGCUUAAAUCACACACCCAGAACAUAUGGUCUAAGUCUUCAUCACACCCAGAACAUGAUUUGAUUUGAUUUGAACAUAACAUAUGGUCUAAGUCUUCAUCACACCCAGAACAUAACAUAUGGUCUAAGUCUUCAUCACAUCAUAACAUAUGGUCUAAGUCUUCAUCACAUCAUAACAUAACAUAUGGUCUCAGUCUUCAUCACAUCAUAACAUAUGGUCUAAGUCUUCAUCACAUCAUAACAUAACAUAUGGUCUAAGUCUUCAUCACAUCAUAACAUAACAUAUGGUCUCAGUCUUCAUCACAUCAUAACAUAUGGUCUAAGUCUUCAUCACAUCAUAACAUAACAUAUGGUCUAAGUCUUCAUCACACCCAGAACAUAACAUAUGGUCUAAGUCUUCAUCACACCCAGAACAUAACAUAUGGUCUCAGUCUUCAUCACACCCAGAACAUAUGGUCUAAGUCUUCAUCACACCCAGAACAUAACAUAUGGUCUAAGUCUUCAUCACACCCAGAACAUAACAUAUGGUCUAAGUCUUCAUCACACCCAGAACAUAUGGUCUAAGUCUUCAUCACAUCAUAACAUAUGGUCUAAGUCUUCAUCACAUCAUAACAUAUGGUCUAAGUCUUCAUCACAUCAUAACAUAUGGUCUAAGUCUUCAUCACAUCAUAACAUAUGGUCUAAGUCUUCAUCACACCCAGAACAUAACACAUGGUCUAAGUCUUCAUCACAUCAUAACAUAUGGUCUAAAUCUUCAUCACAUCAUAACAUAUGGUCUAAGUCUUCAUCACACCCAGAACAUAUGGUCUCGGUCCUCAUCACACCCAGAACAUACGGUCUCAGUCUUCAUCACACCCAGAACAUAUGGUCUAAGUCUUCAUCACACCCAGAACAUAUGUUCUCAGUCCUCAUCAUACCCAGAACAUAUGGUCUAAGUCUUCUUCACACCCAGAGCAGAACAUAUGGUCUCAGUCCUCAUCACACCCAGAACAUAUGGUCUAAGUCUUCAUCGCACCCAGAACAUAUGGUCUAAGUCUUCAUCACACCCAGAACAUAACAUAUGGUCUCAGUCUUCAUCACACCCAGAACAUAUGGUCUAAGUCUUCAUCACACCCAGAACAUAUGAUCUCAGUCUUCAUCACACCCAGAGCAUAACAUAUGGUCUCAGUCUUCAUCACACCCAGAACAUAUGGUCUAAGUCUUCAUCACACCCAGAACAUAACAUAUUUUCUCAGUCUUCAUCACACCCAGAACAUAUGGUCUAAGUCUUCAUCACACCCAGAACAUAUGAUCUCAGUCUUCAUCACACCCAGAGCAUAACAUAUGGUCU